Molecule: long non-coding RNA, 3731 nt
Organism: Motacilla alba alba
Lineage: Eukaryota; Metazoa; Chordata; Aves; Passeriformes; Motacillidae
Exons: 3
Source: RefSeq, a predicted model, not a curated record
UCAGGAUCGGGAUCGGGAUGGGGAUGGGGAUCGGGGUUCCGGCCCGGCACCGGGACCGGAAUCAGGAGCAGGGUCGGGACCGGGAUGGGGAUCGGGAUUGGGAGCGGGAUCGGGAGCAGCCCGUGUGAGCCGUACCCGACAAGGCAGAGGCCCGGCGGGAGCAGCGGUGCCGCUCCCGGGGCCCGGCACUGGCCGGGAGGAUCGCCUCCCGCAGCAGAGCGAUGCGGGCACAGAAGUUUAGCGCUGUACGGAUGGGAAGAGGCUCCAGCGAGCCUUGUAAGCUCAUGGAGACAGGGCAGCAGGUGCCUUCCCAUUGGUGCCCAUAAGUUGCGUGGGGCAGAGGCGAUUUCCUCUUUGCACCCCUGCCAGAAGUGGGUUUUAAUUAAUUAAAUUAGAGAAGGUGUGGCUGGGGUCUCAGGUGAGGUACGUGCCCUCACUGGAGUGCUGCUCAGGUAUGGGGAGCCAGUCUGGAAUAUUCAACCCCAGGAAGGGAUGGGCCUGAUGUCCGCUGUGCCUGUGAGCGCUCUGUGUGCAGCGGGUGGAUGGACAGGCACCCUGGGCAGCAGGACAGGCAGCAGUGUCCCGCAGCACCCACCCCUUGGGCCUGCUGAGCCCGGGUUUUGGUGGCCCAGCCCUCGCCCGUCUGCUCAGUCCUUGCGGGGCAGGUGCCACGCUGCAGGACAAGGGACUGUGGUGAGGAGAUGCCAGCCCCCUUUGCUGCCUUUAAUUGUUCCCAUCCAGUCGGGCAACCCAGAAAGCAGAUCCUCCUUUGGGAAGCAUCAGGUGUGCUUUUCCAUUUGGGCAAGAGGAGCUGACAAUGCAAAGAUCCUAUUCAUUUCCAGCCUCUGGUGAGAGCUGCUGGGCUGAGCAGGGUGGAUGGGGUUUUGUCAGAAGUGAGUAUCUCUCCCCUGUGCAUGGCCCUGAUUUGUCAGUUUAACAGAUGCUCCUCUGGCAGGUAAAGCAGCUUUCCAAUGUGUUUUGUUUGCAUCUGGAAUGGGCAGGUUUCAUAAGCUCAGGCAUCAGGAAUCCCUCCCCGGGGGCAGCCUCCCGGCACCACGAGGCUGGAUCCGCCUUCCCAGCCACAUGAAGUUCCUGGGAAAUGGGUGUGCCAAGGACCAGGGAACAACAAGGAUGGCUGCAGGGAGCAGAGCUGACUGGAAGCAGUGUUUCAGAGCAUGAAUUCUCUGGCUGGACCUCACUGGGACUCCCUUCAGUACUGAAAACAUUCACAGAGGAAGUUCUGUUCCAGAGCACAUUGGGUACCACACUCCUUCAGGACGCAGAGCACAACUUUCACUGCACUGGGGGCAGGAGUGACUGUCCAGGUCACUCAUUUUAGAGUUACAGGACAGUCCUCAGGUAACUGCAGCAAAUGUUUACCUGGGCCGACAGAGCUGGUGGGGAAUAUGAUGCACUUUCAGCUGUCUCUCAGUUUGAUUCAACCCCUGAAAGUGCAGAACAGCACACAGCAUCAGCCAGCUCUGUAAGAGCUGCAGCUCCACCUCAUGCAGACAACUGGAAAGAGCUGAGAGCAGAAAAUAAAAGGUGCUUCCAAGAGUACAUCAUUGUCAUCAAGAGCAACCAGAGGGUUCUCCAUUGUCCUGCCUGCUUGGUGGUGCUGCUUUCCUGAUCUGAAAUUGAAGUUGUCUCUAUUGGGAAGAACAGUGAUAUCCAAGAAAACAAUCAACCGAAGAACACAGAAGUCAUUAAAACACCAAGAAAUAUUUUUUUCAUCAGUGUAAAUGUUUUACGUUUCUGAUACAUUCUGCUGUCUUCUCAGAAGUCAGAGCCUGGCUGCCCACGGACACCACUGAGUUUGGGUGCUCCCAGCGUGUGCCAGUGGAUUGCAGCUUUGGCAUUUCACAUCCUCGAGGAGCCUGUGCUAAGUUUCUAAAUUCUUGCACUGCUGUUUUCUCACCAAUCCCAUUCAGAGUCUGACCUGAGAGCAUGACUUCAUUUGUGUUUUCAGUAAGAACUAUUUUGCUCAAACCUUUGGGUGCUUUUGAAUUACUUUUUUUUUUUUUUUUUUCCUGAAGGGCUAACCCACUAAUUAUACAUGAAAAUUGUACCUCAAAGAUCCAUCUUAAUAAUAUAAUUGUAGUAGCAAAGCAACUGGUGUGAUUAUGUGCAUCAUUGCACUUUUCAGCCAUUAACCAGCUUUUCUUGGUUAAUGAAGUUAGUAAAACCUAGAAUGUGCUUUGCUGGAAUAUAUCCAGUGCAAUCUCAUUAUCACCUACAAGCCUCUGUAAUUGGGGUGAUAAUGUGCAAAACAUUAUAUGGCUGAUAAAGGCAAUGGGAUUAAAAGAGGGCCAAGUUCUGCUCACAGGCACAUGACAGAGCUUGGGGUUUUGGUGUGUGUUUGUGGAAGGCCUGUAGCCCCACGAGGAGUUUUUUGGGGUGGCAUUUUGGGUAGGAGGAGACCACUUGGAAAGACUCCAGCAGCAAAAACUAAUGAGAGCUGCGGCCUCCCAGGAAAGGGAGGAAGAAUUGGUGCUGUCAAGUCAGGAGGAGACUUUAGUGAGGCAUGAAAAUGGUCUUAAACACCUUCAAAAGAGGGAAUAAUCUGUUCUCUGUGAUCCUGCUGGAUAGGACACAGAGGAGUGGGUUACAGCACAGUGGAUGUUGGAGAUUAGGGAAAUGCAGGGUGGAUAACUGAGAACUGGUUGGAUUUAGGGAAAUGCUGGAUGGAUAACUGAGGGCUGGUUGAUUGGAUAGUAGGGAAAUGCAGGGUGGAUAACUGAGGGCUGGUUGGAUAUUAGGGAAAUGCAGAAUGGAUAACUGAGGGCUGGUUGGAUUUAGGGAAAUGCAGAAUGGAUAACUGAGGGCUGGUUGGAUUUAGGGAAAUGCGGAAUGGAUAACUGAGGGCUGGUUGGAUUUAGGGAAAUGCAGGAUAGAUAACUGAGGGCUGGUUGGAUUUAGGGAAAUGCAGAAUGGAUAACUGAGGGCUGGUUGGAUUUAGGGAAAUGCAGGAUGGAUAACUGAGGGCUGGUUGGAUUUAGGGAAAUGCAGGAUGGAUAACUGAGGGCUGGUUGGAUUUAGGGAAAUGCAGAAUGGAUAACUGAGGGCUGGUUGGAUUUAGGGAAAUGCAGGAUGGAUAACUGAGGGCUGGUUGGAUUUAGGGAAAUGCAGGAUGGAUAACUCAGGGCUGGUUGGAUUUAGGGAAAUGCAGGAUGGAUAACUGAGGGCUGGUUGGAUUUAGGGAAAUGCAGGAUGGAUAACUGAGGGCUGGUUGGAUUUAGGGAAAUGCAGGAUGGAUAACUCAGGGCUGGUUGGAAUUGCUUGCACCAGGGUGUGUCAGAGGAUUCUCUGCUGCUGGAGGGCACCAGGAGGAGGGGAGUGAGGAGCUGGAUUUUGUGCUGGUCCCUGGCCUCAGGCAGUGAGGAGGGAGCACCAGUGUCACUACAAUGGUAUUUUAUGGCUUUUAUAUUUUAUGUGAGAGGCUCCUGGCAGAGAGAUGAGAGAUCUCCUUGGUGCUUGCACAAACACAAAGCAGAUCUGCCAGGAGGAUCUGUGAUCAGAAUUCUGCUCUCAGCUGUUACACACUUGGAAUUACUGUCAGGACUGCUGGUGGAAGGGAAAGAAGGCUAUGAAUGUGAAAAAAGGGAAGCAUUACUGCUUGCUCCCUUGGAUAAUACAGGUCACAAGGCUGGUUCUGUUUGUGCUUGCUUGAAUUUCAACAUGUCUUUUCAGGAAAAAAACAUUCAAAUGUUAUUAAAAAACCCUGUAAGGAA